This 253-nucleotide ribosomal RNA is filed under the name uncultured bacterium. RNAcentral's name for it is "partial 16S ribosomal RNA". It matches the Rfam family "Bacterial small subunit ribosomal RNA", at positions 524 to 776 of the family's 1533-position model. The record is from RNAcentral.
UACGAAGGGUGCUAGCGUUGUUCGGAAUUACUGGGCGUAAAGCGCGCGUAGGCGGCUAUUCAAGUCAGGGGUGAAAUCCUGGGGCUCAACCCCAGAAUUGCCUUUGAAACUGGGUAGCUUGAGUGUCGGAGGGGAUAGCGGAAUUCCUAAUGUAGAGGUGAAAUUCGUAGAUAUUAGGAGGAACACCGGUGGCGAAGGCGGCUAUCUGGACGACAACUGACGCUGAGGCGCGAAAGCGCGGGGAUCAAACAGG